Molecule: long non-coding RNA, 469 nt
Organism: Candoia aspera
Lineage: Eukaryota; Metazoa; Chordata; Lepidosauria; Squamata; Candoiidae
Exons: 3
Source: RefSeq, a predicted model, not a curated record
GCGCGGAGGAGCGCUGUGUGGUCCUCCCGGGGUUGGUCGGAGCAGCAGCGGCCGGAAGGUUCUGGAGACCCAGGAUCCACUCCCCCUUCAGCUACGAAAGCUCGCUCAGCGCCUCAGGGCCAGUCAACCGGAUGGCUGUUGGGAAAAAUGGGAGGGAGCUGGGAAAGCUCUGUACUCUGCCUUGAGUUCUUGGGAGAAAGACAAAAGGGAUGCCAGUAAGAGCCUUCUGGACAACUGAGAAUCAGGAGCAGCAUUAAUAAGGAAAGCACAUCAAGCCAGGAAUCAAAAUCUUUCCACUUCCUGCAUAAAAGCACAAAACCCUUCUCCUUCCCCAGCAGAUGAGGGAGAGGAAAAGAGGAAGAGUGUUUUGAGCUGCAAAAAUUGAGUAUGUUGAACUCAAGGAAACCUUACUUAGAAAAGUCAAGGGGGAGAAUUUCCAAAUUCAGACAAAGAGAGAAGUAUGUGGGAG